Molecule: ribosomal RNA, 497 nt
Filed under: uncultured bacterium
Lineage: Bacteria
Description: partial 16S ribosomal RNA
Rfam family: Bacterial small subunit ribosomal RNA
Source: RNAcentral
GAUGAACGCUGGCGGCGUGCCUAAUACAUGCAAGUCGAGCGAACGGACGAGAAGCUUGCUUCUCUGAUGUUAGCGGCGGACGGGUGAGUAACACGUGGAUAACCUACCUAUAAGACUGGGAUAACUUCGGGAAACCGGAGCCAAUACCGGAUAAUAUUUUGAACCGCAUGGUUCAAAAGUGAAAGACGUUCUUGCUGUCACUUAUAGAUGGAUCCGCGCUUCAUUAGCUAGUUGGUAAGGUAACGGCUUACCAAGGCAACGAUGCAUAGCCGACCUGAGAGGGUGAUCGGCCACACUGGAACGGAGACACGGUCCAGACUCCUACGGGAGGCAGCAGUAGGGAAUCUUCCGCAAUGGGCGAAAGCCUGACGGAGCAACGCCGCGUGAGUGAUGAAGGUCUUCGGAUCGUAAAACUCUGUUAUUAGGGAAGAACAUAUGUGUAAGUAACUGUGCACAUCUUGACGGUACCUAAUCAGAAAGCCACGGCUAACUACGUG